Molecule: transfer RNA, 76 nt
Filed under: compost metagenome
Description: tRNA-Glu
Source: RNAcentral
CUUCGGGAUGGGCUGGCUGCCCCAGCCCAGAUGGCUCUCGACCAUCAGGCCGACGAUCGAGUUGUUGCCCUCGAGG